Molecule: ribosomal RNA, 247 nt
Filed under: uncultured bacterium
Lineage: Bacteria
Description: partial 16S ribosomal RNA
Rfam family: Bacterial small subunit ribosomal RNA
Source: RNAcentral
CCCGGCGCCACGGUGAGUAACACGUAUGCAAUCCACCUGUAACAGGGGGAGUAACCGGAAGAAAUACCGGACUAAUACCCCAUAAUAUGGGCGCUCCGCAUGGAGAGUUCAUUAAAGAGAGCAAUUUUGGUUACAGACGAGCAUGCGCUCCAUUAGCCAGUUGGCGGGGUAACGGCCCACCAAGGCGACGAUGGAUAGGGGUUCUGAGAGGAAGGUCCCCCCACAUUGGAACUGAGACACGGUCCAA